AGUUUGGUUUUUAAAAUUUUGGUUUAUUUGGUUCGGUUUUUAACCAAAUAAACCGAAUUCUCACCCCUGUAGGUGCAAGUUUGCAAGAUGUGUGUGGUUUGGAUGUUCUCUUAGUCUCAAAUUGGUGGAAUUCUCAAAUCAGAAUGUGGUUAAUUGAAUAAAGGGGUGGUUAGAUAUAGAAUGGGCAAAUAAACCUUCCAAGGUUGAAGAACUAUCCCUUUAAAAUGAAAGUUCUUGGCAAAUAUUACAGGCUUGUAAUAAUAAGAUCUUCAACCAGGUUGUUUCUAACCUUUGUUAUAUGUAAUGCUUGCAAGAUUUUUCAGGAAACAGGAAAAAUAAUAUUGUGACAAGAAUUGCUAAACUAUGACAAAACAUCCAAGGGUAGGUAGAAGAACAGUUUUUUUGCAAGCCAAUUGUGUAAAGAUUUUGACCCUUUUUGGCAAGUCUUUUCGGAAGAUAUAGUGAGCUUUCAGAAGCCCACUAGCUCAAACAAUGGCCUUUUCCCAUUUGGCUCAUGAAAUCUCAAUAGACCAGAAUAUGAUACAUAAAAAGAGACUUUAAAAGCCCAAAGUAGUCUAAAUCCGAGAAGCUUCAAGUGAAGCUUAUGGUCUAUUCGGUCCWUCUCAGCUUCCUGAUACGUGUGCAAAGAGCCACACGUUUGGUAAAACAAUUCAAAAAGGGGUUGAUUGAAACCCCCUUCAUUCUCCACUUUUGACUGAGAGAAACUCUGCUCCCAGUGAUCAAGAAGCAUCGACAUAGGUAUUUUGUUCUCCUUUUCUUCCUUCCAUUUUUCUUCAUCAUUCCAUGUAUUUCUUCUCUCUUCAAAGGUAUUAAUUGAGAUUUUUGUCUUGUAGGAGAUUAAAUACUCGUUGUUCUUCACUGUGUUCAGGUUGUCUUCACCAUCAACUGGGAUCUGUACAAAUCAUUUUGUACGCUUUGAGAAGUGCAAAUGGAAGAAGGGCAUUGCUUUUACAAAGCCAAAACUAAAAGGAAAUAACUACCUAGUCUUAUUUACAAUAUAUAGAGAAAACUAUGAAGUUAUAAACAAGUUCAAAGUCUUAGUUGCAAUAGUUGCAAUCUAUAAAAGCUGAGAUGCUACAGGCAGGAAAAUUGCAAAGGAACUAUAUUAUUAAACCACCAUUUUAUUGGUCCCAUUUAAGAUAUCUUUUAGCAGGAGCCAAAUAGCUUUUCAACUCCACCCUCUGAUUUCAUAAGUUUGAACUUCAAAGCAUAGGAUAUUGCUUCCAAUUAUCUACAUGCUAAUCCUGGGAGAGUGGGAGGUCUAUAGUUCAUACUUGAAGCAUAGAAAACUUUCUCUGAUUUCAUAAAUAUUGAUUCUGUCUAGUAUUUACAAUGGAGGAAUAUGUUGUUCAUGGUACCUUCUACUGACAAUGACAGGCUGCAAGAGAUAUAGAUGCAACAUAUAGGCUACCCACUACCUAAGCAUGAUAUUUUGUCGUGCAGGCUACAUACAUGUAUGAACACUUCAGCAGUACCUUAAAUAAGCUCAUACUGAAUGUAUGUGUGUGUGAGAGAGAUUUUUCUUACUUGGUUUCAUAGUGUUUAAAUAAUAAUCUAAUAUCUACCAGUUAGUAAUUGCUUCA
Molecule: non-coding RNA, 1604 nt
Organism: Nelumbo nucifera (sacred lotus)
Lineage: Eukaryota; Viridiplantae; Streptophyta; Magnoliopsida; Proteales; Nelumbonaceae
Source: RefSeq, a predicted model, not a curated record